ACGAAGAUUUUUGGAUUCUUAGGAUUAGGUUCGAUUCCUAUAAUUCUAG
This 49-nucleotide transfer RNA is filed under the name Panthera spelaea (Eurasian cave lion). Its description in RNAcentral is "partial tRNA-Gln". The record is from RNAcentral. Lineage: Eukaryota; Metazoa; Chordata; Mammalia; Carnivora; Felidae.